This 458-nucleotide ribosomal RNA is filed under the name uncultured bacterium. RNAcentral describes it as "bacterial SSU rRNA". It matches the Rfam family "Bacterial small subunit ribosomal RNA", at positions 29 to 482 of the family's 1533-position model. The record is from RNAcentral.
AUUGAACGCUGGCGGCGUGCCUAACACAUGCAAGUCGAUCGGUAACAGGUGUAGCAAUACAUGCUGACGAGAGGCGGACGGGUGAGUAACGCUUGGGAAUCUGCCUAUUAGUGGGGGACAACCCGGGGAAACUCGGGCUAAUACCGCAUACGCUCUACGGAGGAAAGCCGGGGACCGCAAGGCCUGGCGCUAAUAGAUGAGCCCAAGUCGGAUUAGCUAGUUGGUAGGGUAAUGGCCUACCAAGGCGACGAUCCGUAGCUGGUCUGAGAGGACGACCAGCCACACUGGGACUGAGACACGGCCCAGACUCCUACGGGAGGCAGCAGUGGGAAUAUUGGACAAUGGGGAAACCCUGAUCCAGCGACGCCGCGUGGGUGAAGAAGGCCUGCGGGUUGUAAAGCCCUUUCGGUGGGGAAGAAAAGCCUCGACCUAACACGUCGGGUAUUGACGUAACCCAC